AUUGAACGCUGGCGGCAGGCUUAACACAUGCAAGUCGAGCGGUAGCACAGGGGAGCUUGCUCCCUGGGUGACGAGCGGCGGACGGGUGAGUAAUGUCUGGGAAACUGCCUGAUGGAGGGGGAUAACUACUGGAAACGGUAGCUAAUACCGCAUAAUGUCGCAAGACCAAAGAGGGGGACCUUCGGGCCUCUUGCCAUCAGAUGUGCCCAGAUGGGAUUAGCUAGUAGGUGGGGUAAUGGCUCACCUAGGCGACGAUCCCUAGCUGGUCUGAGAGGAUGACCAGCCACACUGGAACUGAGACACGGUCCAGACUCCUACGGGAGGCAGCAGUGGGGAAUAUUGCACAAUGGGCGCAAGCCUGAUGCAGCCAUGCCGCGUGUGUGAAGAAGGCCUUCGGGUUGUAAAGCACUUUCAGCGAGGAGGAAGGCGUUGUAGUUAAUAACUGCAGCGAUUGACGUUACUCGCAGAAGAAGCACCGGCUAACUCCGUGCCAG
This 494-nucleotide ribosomal RNA is filed under the name uncultured bacterium. RNAcentral describes it as "bacterial SSU rRNA". It matches the Rfam family "Bacterial small subunit ribosomal RNA", at positions 30 to 511 of the family's 1533-position model. The record is from RNAcentral.